Molecule: ribosomal RNA, 254 nt
Filed under: uncultured bacterium
Lineage: Bacteria
Description: partial 16S ribosomal RNA
Rfam family: Bacterial small subunit ribosomal RNA
Source: RNAcentral
UACGUAGGGGCCAAGCGUUGUCCGGAUUUAUUGGGCGUAAAGAGCUCGUAGGCGGUUCGGCAAGUCGAAUGUGAAAUCUCCACGCUCAACGUGGAGGGGUCAUUCGAUACUGCCGUGACUUGAGUACGGUAGGGGAGUGUGGAAUUCCCGGUGUAGCGGUGAAAUGCGCAGAGAUCGGGAGGAACACCCGUAGCGAAGGCGGCACUCUGGGCCGAUACUGACGCUGAGGUGCGAAAGCGUGGGGAGCAAACAGG